RNAcentral lists this ribosomal RNA (505 nucleotides) under uncultured bacterium. RNAcentral describes it as "partial 16S ribosomal RNA". It matches the Rfam family "Bacterial small subunit ribosomal RNA", at positions 28 to 507 of the family's 1533-position model. The record is from RNAcentral.
GACGAACGCUGGCGGCGUGCCUAAUACAUGCAAGUAGAACGCACAGUUUAUACCGUAGCUUGCUACACCAUAGACUGUGAGUUGCGAACGGGUGAGUAACGCGUAGGUAACCUGCCUGGUAGCGGGGGAUAACUAUUGGAAACGAUAGCUAAUACCGCAUCAUAUUAAUUAUUGCAUGAUAAUUAAUUGAAAGGUGCAAUUGCACCACUACCAGAUGGACCUGCGUUGUAUUAGCUAGUAGGGGAGGUAACGGCUCACCUAGGCGACGAAACAUAGCCGACCUGAGAGGGGGAGCGGCCACACUGGGACUGAGACACGGCCCAGACUCCUACGGGAGGCAGCAGUAGGGAAUCUUCGGCAAUGGACGAAAGUCUGACCGAGCAACGCCGCGUGAGUGAAGAAGGUUUUCGGAUCGUAAAGCUCUGUUGUAAGGGAAGAACGGGUGUGAGAGUGGAAAGUUCACACUGUGACGGUAUCUUACCAGAAAGGGACGGCUAACUACGUG